This 802-nucleotide ribosomal RNA is filed under the name uncultured bacterium. Its description in RNAcentral is "bacterial SSU rRNA". It matches the Rfam family "Bacterial small subunit ribosomal RNA", at positions 8 to 796 of the family's 1533-position model. The record is from RNAcentral.
AGAGUUUGAUCCUGGCUCAGAACGAACGCUGGCGGCGUGGAUAAGACAUGCAAGUCGAGCGAGAUUUUUUCUUGUAGCNNUACGAGGAAAAGUCUAGCGGCGAACGGGUGCUUAACACGUGGGCCCUGCCAUGAAGUGGGGGAUAGCUCGUCGAAAGGCGAAUUAAUACCGCAUGUGAUUAGAGUGGACAUCCAUUCAAAAUUAAAGUCGGGGCAACCUGACGCUUCUUGUGGGGCCCGCGGCCUAUCAGCUAGUUGGUGAGGUAACGGCCCACCAAGGCUUUGACGGGUAGCUGGUCUGAGAGGACGACCAGCCACACUGGGACUGAGACACGGCCAGACACCUACGGGUGGCAGCAGUCGAGAAUUUUUGCAAUGGGGGAACCUGAUCGAGGACGCCGCGUGGAGGAUGAAGGUCUUCGGAUUGUAAACUCCUGUCAUUGGGGAACAAUGCACAGAUAUUAACUGUAUUUGUGUUGAUAGUACCCGAAGAGGAAGGGACGGCUAACUCUGUGCCAGCAGCCGCGGUAAUACAGAGGUCCAAGCGUUGUUCGGAUUCAUUGGGCGUAAAGGGUGCGUAGGCGGCGCGGUAAGUCGGGUGUGAAAUCUCGGGGCUUAACUCCGAAACUGCAUUCGAUACUGCCGUGCUUGAGGACUGGAGAGGAGACUGGAAUUUACGGUGUAGCGGUGAAAUGCGUAGAUAUCGUAAGGAAGACCAGUGGCGAAGGCGGGUCUCUGGACAGUUCCUGACGCUGAGGCACGAAGGUCAGGGGAGCAAACGGGAUUAGAUACCCUAGUAGUCC